RNAcentral lists this ribosomal RNA (406 nucleotides) under uncultured bacterium. Its description in RNAcentral is "partial 16S ribosomal RNA". It matches the Rfam family "Bacterial small subunit ribosomal RNA", at positions 30 to 526 of the family's 1533-position model. The record is from RNAcentral.
AUUGAACGCUGGCGGCAGGCCUAACACAUGCAAGUCGAACGAGUGGCGGACGGGUGAGUAAUGUCUGGACAACUGCCUGAUGUAGCGGGAUAACUACUGGAAACGGUAGCUACUACCGCAUAACAUCCGAUGUGCCCAGAUGGGAUUAGCUAUUAGGUGGGGUAAAGGCUCACCUAGGCGACGAUCCCUAGCAGGUCUGAGAGGAUGACCGGCCACACUGGAACUGAGACACGGUCCAGACUCCUACGGGAGGCAGCAGUGGGGAAUAUUGCACAAUGGGCGCAAGCCGGAUGCAGCCACGCCGCGUGUAUGAAGAAGGCCUUCGGGUUGUAAAGUACUUUUAGCGGGGAGGCGUUACCCGACGAAGAAGCACCGGCUAACUCCGUGCCAGCAGCCGCGGUAAUUC